UUUUACAACCAAUUCCAACCACUAAGGAGUUUAACAACCACUUUUCCAACAACCUUCCAUGAUUUAAGGACCAUGUCUUGAGGAGAAAAGUCAAGUCUUGCUUUUUGAAUUUGAAAGAGGAUUUCAAGACUUGUUUUCUCUCCUUAACCAAUUCCCACCAAUUCCAAAUUACAAUUGGACCAAGACUUUAAUUAGAAAAUAAAAUUUGAUAACAACCACAACCAAU
This 226-nucleotide long non-coding RNA is filed under the name Capsicum annuum. RNAcentral describes it as "long non-coding RNA (CANN_LNC003360)". Lineage: Eukaryota; Viridiplantae; Streptophyta; Magnoliopsida; Solanales; Solanaceae. The record is from RNAcentral.